AUGCCAUGGUGAGGGCAAUCGACACAAAGCAUCUUGAAUCUAUCCCAAGCUUGAUAGAAAUUCUCGUCCUUGUCUUGUUGAAAGCUUGCUAUCCUUUGUCUUCCUCU
Molecule: small nucleolar RNA, 107 nt
Filed under: Corchorus capsularis
Lineage: Eukaryota; Viridiplantae; Streptophyta; Magnoliopsida; Malvales; Malvaceae
Description: Plant small nucleolar RNA R71
Rfam family: Plant small nucleolar RNA R71
About the family: R71 is a member of the C/D box family of snoRNAs containing the C (UGAUGA) and D (CUGA) box motifs. Multiple nearly identical copies of this snoRNA have been identified in Arabidopsis, and it is thought to function as a 2'-O-ribose methylation guide for 18S ribosomal RNA.
Source: Rfam by way of RNAcentral